This is a long non-coding RNA of Gallus gallus (chicken), 1441 nucleotides long. NCBI's taxonomy places the organism in Eukaryota, Metazoa, Chordata, Aves, Galliformes, Phasianidae. The record is from Ensembl.
CCAAAACGGAGGACAUAGCUGAGUGCACCCUUGCAUAGGUGCAGUGGAUGUGGUUCAGAUCUGGGUGCACCUUGAGUCUGGCUGUGAUGUCCUAUGAUCCGCUCUGCCGCCAUCUCGUUCCUAUCCCCUUCCUGCACAGACACUGCCAGUGGCCUGGGCUCUGUCACCGCGGGGGGACGUCUGUGGUCCUGCUCCUUCUGCCCAGUACCUCCAUGUCCUUGUGAGCCCCAGCUUCCCUCUGCACUGGAAACAACGUGGUGUUGGGCCCCCUGAGCCAGGUGACCCUGCUGGAGCAGGGAUUGGGCCAGAAGGACCCGACCACAGCCAUUUUGUGCCUCCGUGAAAUUAGCCACCUUCUCUUAUGUUCUGUUCCUCCAGGCUGGCCCAGCAUCUCCCCACAGGCAUAUGUUGGUAGUACUUACUGAUAUCGAUAGUCUUUCUUUCCUGAUUAUCAAUAUUUGCUGGUUUGUUCCCACCAAUCUUUAGGAAAUACCCAGGAAGCAGGCAUGAACAGAGCUCCAGCAGCUCCAUGAUUCCAGCAGGAGCCAUCAGCCCACCGUGCCUUCCUGUGUUCCCUUCCCAAAGCCCACCAGGAACGUCGCAGUUCCCAGGGCUGCACAGAGCUGCUGGUAACCCUGUUAACCUUUGGGUUAAUCAAGCAAACUGGAAUUCUUCAUUAGAAGGAAUGUCGCUAAUUACAUAGCCGAGAGGCUAAGAGAGGCUGCCCUCCUUGCCUUCACCUGCUGUGACGUGACCUGCGGACAGCACAGGAUGGGAACUGGAGUCCAGCUGUUGGAUCUGACCACGCUGGUACCUUUGUUAUGGGCAGGUUCCAGCCACGGCUGAGCCGCAAACUACAUAUUCCCAUUUCCAGAGGGAAACAAGCCAAGCCCUACAGAUAAACCUGAAGCACUGGUGUAUGUUGCUCUUUGCCCUCAGCCAAUCUCGCCGUGCCAGCUCCAGCUUCAUCCCAGCCCAGUCACAGCAAGCAUUCUUCCUUAGGACACGGCCAAAUCUCCAACCCAGUUUCAACCACAAACUGCAGCAUAUCCAUAUGGAGUGAGAGAAGCGAUUCUUUCCACGUGGAGAUGUAGAAAUAAGUGAUUUUAUUUUGCCUUCGUUGUUACCUAGCUUGGAUCCAAGCCCAGUUCUUCUUCUGGUGGUGACGUGUGUUUGUGUAUUGCCAGUGGUCUGCAGUUGGCCAGAGGUUGUGUUCGUUGGUGUUUCUUCAUCCUUCAUGUAAUUUUUAGCAGCAUCUUCUUUCUGAAAACAGAGCCAUUAGGAUGUUCAGUGUUGCAAUAAAAUGGACGUGUGAUGGGCAACAAUAUUCCAGCAUGUCUGAUGAAGACAUCCUGGAGAAGACCUGAUACUUCCCGAAUAACAAGGCUGGAGUCCAAGGAGCACUGUCUUAGCUCUCCUCCUUCUGAUCAAGCAGCUCCUG